CGAACGAAAAGAGGGAAAGAGCUUGCUCUUUCCGGGAUUGAGUGGCAAACGGGUGAGUAACACGUAAACAACCUGCCUUCAGGAUGGGGACAACAGACGGAAACGACUGCUAAUACCGAAUAAGUUCCAAGAGCCGCAUGGCCCAUGGAAGAAAAGGUGGCCUCUACCUGUAAGCUAUCGCCUGAAGAGGGGUUUGCGUCUGAUUAGCUGGUUGGAGGGGUAACGGCCCACCAAGGCGACGAUCAGUAGCCGGUCUGAGAGGAUGAACGGCCACACUGGAACUGAGACACGGUCCAGACUCCUACGGGAGGCAGCAGUGGGGAAUCUUCCGCAAUGGGCGAAAGCCUGACGGAGCAACGCCGCGUGAGUGAUGACGGCCUUCGGGUUGUAAAACUCUGUGAUCCGGGACGAAAAGGCAGAGUGCGAAGAACAAACUGCAUUGACGGUACCGGAAAAGCAAGCCACGGCUAACUACGUGCCAGCAGCCGCGGUAAUACGUAGGUGGCAAGCGUUGUCCGGAAUUAUUGGGCGUAAAGCGCGCGCAGGCGGCUUCCCAAGUCCCUCUUAAAAGUGCGGGGCUUAACCCCGUGAUGGGAAGGAAACUGGGAAGCUGGAGUAUCGGAGAGGAAAGUGGAAUUCCUAGUGUAGCGGUGAAAUGCGUAGAGAUUAGGAAGAACACCGGUGGCGAAGGCGACUUUCUGG
RNAcentral lists this ribosomal RNA (702 nucleotides) under uncultured Peptococcaceae bacterium. RNAcentral's name for it is "bacterial SSU rRNA". It matches the Rfam family "Bacterial small subunit ribosomal RNA", at positions 63 to 732 of the family's 1533-position model. The record is from RNAcentral. Lineage: Bacteria; Bacillati; Bacillota; Clostridia; Eubacteriales; Peptococcaceae.